Molecule: long non-coding RNA, 4728 nt
Organism: Harpia harpyja (harpy eagle)
Lineage: Eukaryota; Metazoa; Chordata; Aves; Accipitriformes; Accipitridae
Exons: 3
Source: RefSeq, a predicted model, not a curated record
CUUUCUAAAGGAGCUGAAAAACAUGAUGACAUGUAACGAAACCUCCCCGGGGCUGCAGUUUGGUAUUCGGUGGGGAAGCAGCAGGGACUCGGAGGUUUGCUGUGGCUGCUCGGGUGCUACGGGGAGCUCCUAUCCCUUGGCAAUUGCCGAUACAACACACCGUAGUAACACAAGAAGAAUUAAGUUGCUCAGAUGCACGCCAGAGCGUAAAAACAACUGUCUAUACAGUCACCGUGCCUCGGCCAGCGUACCUGUCUGCUGCACACCCUGCACGCGGGUGAGAGCUGACUGCCCCUCUCUUGGGAUCACAGGGUGGUUACUCAAAUGGUCUGGAUGCGACCAAAGGGAGCGUGAGACAAAGUGUAGCAGUUCUGGUUUAGCUGAAUCAGGAUAAAGUGCUUAACCACACAGCCAGGUGGAGGCAAUGCCCAGAAUAGACCCCUAAGUACAGAUUGGUACGAGUGGCUUUGCCAUGUGGAUUUCUUUUAGUAAUAAUUUUUGCAGUGGUGCUGAUGAGAUUAUGGUGGUGAGAGGUGCUUGUUUACAUUUGGUGGUUAUUAGUGUCAUUUCUUUUUUGAUUAACCUUUUGUGUACUACAGCUGUCCACUGCAGUCCGGAGGGGUUUUAUGACUGGAGAAUUUAUGAUAAAGGCACUCUAACACAAGGAAUUUGAGCUCGUGGGAUUAAGCUGGGUGUGCAUAGGUUAUUGCAGCAGCAUCCGCUGGUUUUCCUUCUUCCUGUAAUUCUGUUGAUACCAGUUACAGGAUCAGAAAAUUCAUAUUAGAACAUUAGCAAGUGCAAAUGUAUAGCCACAUUCUCAUCAUUUAGCCUAAUUUUAAUCCUUUGGAUAAAGUACUUAAUUUUUAUCAAUUCACAGGCAUGGAAGUGACAAGCCCGUUUAUAACUAUCAGUGAUACAGAGCAGCAGCUCCAAAAAAGCCAUGGGAUUUUGGAAUCGGCGCUGAGAAACUUUUCCAUAAAUGCCAGGAAUAACAUUAUAUUUGAAUAUUUAACCCUUACCCAGGCAAUUUGAGGACUGGAAACCAUAUGUGCUUUUCAUAAUGGGAGCCAAGAUGACCCUACAUAAAGAUAAAUAUAACUACAUAAAAGCAUUCAGGAAGGAUGGUGUUGUGGUUAAGAGCUGGGCAAGGACUGGGGAGCUCGAAGGUCUAAUCCCAGCUCAGCCACAGGCUUCUUGGGUGAUCCUGGGCAUGUAACUUAAUCUCUGCGUGUUGCAGUUUUUCCAUUUGUGAAUGGGAGACGAUAAUAAUACUGCCCCACAGCCAUGCCUGGAGGAUAAACGCAUUGCUGCUUGGGAGGUGUGGGCUUGGAGAUGGUGCUGGUGACCACCAGGAUAAGUCUUAGCCAAGUGCUCUGCUGAGGGUAUGUGCUACACCGCUGCCAGUGGUAUUUGCAGUUUGGCCUCUCCUCUGAAGGCUGGUUGAAUAAACUCCUGCCUUAAUUAGACAGUGUGUCAGACUAGGGUAGCACACCUGAAGCCUUGUCUGGGGAGUCACAUCAUUGGCAAAUGUUCCUUGUUUGAACAUAAUUUAAAUUCAAAAACAAUGAGAGGAAAAAAUGAGAAAAGGGAAACCUGCAGUAGAUGAGACCAUCUGGUUUUGUUUGAGUGCUACCUAAGUAACUUGUGUUUAUUGGUUAUAGACUGGUGUUUUCUUUAUACGGUCUCUGGCCAGGUAGCUGUUGUUAUGCUUGUGACUUGGCAUUCACUUCUGCCCUUUGUGAGUCUGCUCAGGAGGCAUGGAUCCUGAUCCUCUUGUGAUUCUUUGAAAAGAUGGGAUAUUUCAAAGUAACCGUCAAGACAGAGACUUUUCUUAAUUGGUCACCGAGAUUUUCGGCUCGUAGCCUGUGGCUGCCAUGGGGAUAUCAUUUCAUCACUGCGGGAGCAAAGGCGAUUGAGCCGAUGGCACAUGGGAGAGGCAGCCCGUGCGACUGUCAGCGUGAGGAAGAAUCAUGUUCACGAGAGAACGUCUCUGCUAAGGUGCCAUCCCCGCUCUGGAAAGCAGGUCCACACGUUCAGAUGUGAAGCUGGAAAUGAAACACAUCUGGAUAUCCAAAAAUGACAACAGACUUUUAUUUGCUAUUUUUGGUAUACAACAAAAGCUUUGUAUCUUGCUAAUUGAACAUAUGGGCUCUCAGUUGCUUUUUUCCCCUGCUAAACUCCACUUUUCCAUGUGUCAUCAUACGAUUCCAACAUUUGAUCUGUCGAGUCCAUCUUGGCCAUGUGUUUGUUGUAAUCUGCUACACAUGUAGGCUUGUUUUCGUGUGCGUCCUGACCUCCAGUGAGAGCUGCAGUUGUUUCCAUCAUGGAUAGUGUUGAGGAGUUACACAUCCUUUUUAUCAGUGUAUUUGGCCACCGGCAGCUCCUCGCAGUGCAGAUCAGGGAUCCUGCCAAGCCUCUGAAAGCUCAGUGUUUAGGGUAGCCAUAUCUGUUUGUAUUGUGAUACCAGAUGCUGGUUUUUUUCAGUGUAACAGAAUAAGAAGGGAGAACUUCCCCAGAAUAGAAAAUAUCCACAUAAGUAAAAUCCAGCGUCUCACCAAGGGAAGAUGAGGGUCAGCAUUAGCUAGUUAGAGUUGGAGCGUGAGGAAGGGAUAGAGGUGGACGGCUGGUUGAUGGUCAUCAGACAGACCUGUGCAAACCGGGCAGGGGUCGGCAUUGCAGUGGCCAGCAUGGAAAAGCAGCGUUUGCUUGUGCAGAAGGCAGCGUGCUCUUCGGAGUCUGCAGCAGAAGAGUCUGCGGGAUAAAAAGAGAAAAAUGCUCUAUCUGGAGUGAAGGACUGAGCCCUUCAGAGCAGGCUGUGCCAUAAUACCCACUGGGAACUUGGCCCCACUGCACGGACGUUCGUGAGACUCGACUCGUUACAAAUACAGGACCUCUUGAUUAGCAUGAAAGAUUCGUCAUCAGAAUUUUUUUGUGCCUGUGGGGGAUCUACUUACUUAUUUCCAACUACAGCUCUAAAUUGUUCCCAUGCUUCAUCAUGGUUUGAUUAGCUAAAAUCUUCGAGUAACUGUUUGAGGCACUUACCAUAACUAAAAAACAGGUGACAAUGAUCAAACCGUAGGGUACGGAGGGUAUGGAGCCUGAAUGUGGUUGGAGGCAACCCCGUUACAGGUUCCUGAGCACUGUAAAGACGUAUCACCUGCACGCUUUUAAAGUGCUGAGGACUGCUGCAUAUUGUUCCCCAGGAUAAAUGACAAAUUAAUGCAACAAAAAAAAGGGGUAACUGCAUUUAAUUAAUUGCCUGCGCACAUGCAUGCGUAGCCCCAGCCUGUGCAUCCAUGUCAUGUUACAGCUGUGCUAAUAGUCACCUUUCUUGCAGUAAAUAUUGGGCCAAUUUCAUCACAUUUGGUUUAUGUUUAUCAACACGGCACUUAAGCAAUGGGGUUUUGGUUGCAAUAAGGGAAAGAGUCCAUUUCUGUCUAGCCCCGAGGUGAGGGAAUGAGAAGCCACAUGUGGCAUGGCCCGGCUGGAGGCUCUCGUCUCUCCGUGUUGCAACACACCCGCCUGACUGCAGCAAAAAUCAAAUAUUUGUACUUGAAGACAGAGCUGAGGCAAUUUCCACCAGGAUUAUGCCGUCUCUCACCAAUUGAAAAAUAUUAUACGUGCGUCGUGCAUUAUUCUGUUCAGUUCUUGACAUACGCUGCUGAGCAAUUUUGUCUUGAACUCCCUUUUUCUUUUUAGCCAAGAGUGUAACAUGAAACAAAUCUAAGAUUGCACUCGAGGACUUCCCAAUCAACUGAAGAAUGAACUCUGAAGCAGAAGUUGUAUUUAACAAAACGGACUUACAAUUAUUAUUCAUAAAUGCACAUGUUAUGGCUGCAGUUGUUUCACUUCUUUCUUUUACAACCCUAUAAAUUGUAUACAGAACAUAAAGGCUUUACUUCUUAAAUAAAUGUUUUGCAGCCGCCAUAAAUUAUCUUUCUUGCAUUCAUAAUGAAAAAAAAAUCACUGUUUGAUGUUUUAUAUCCUCUUCCCUAAAAUGUAAAAUAUGGUAGUUGGAGCCAGAUUUUAUCUCAUUUGAAAAUAAAAGAAGGUUCAUUUCCUACUAAUUUUUUUCAGUCUUAGGUUUGGAGUUCCCAUGAAAUGUUGCCCAAUCUGCAAAGCAGCGUUACAAUAAACUCUGCUUUAUCUGAGGGUUUGUGUUUGAGUUGUACCAGUGUUAAUCAUCAUCAUCGUGAAAUGAGUUAGCAACAUAACCUGAAUCUUUUUUAUUUUUUUUUUUAAUCCCUAAUGUUGGUUAUAUUUCAUCUUUCUACGCACCCUGAAUCACUGGCUGAAUAUCGGAUUGUUGAACUUUUCUCUACACCAACCCUACGAGGACCCUGCCCCAGCAUUGCUGUCCUGGAAGCAGGCCUUGCUAAACUCCCAGCUCACUGGUUUGCAAAGCAAACUUCAGCCUUGUACUAUUUACCUUGGCAAGUGCCCGACCAGAUUGAUGAUCUGUAAAGUGGAUUUGUUAUUUGGCUGUUUGCUUUGGCAGCUCUUGAAAGCAGUUUGCUGAUUACAGUCCCAGAUGUCAUUGCAUACAUUACUGUUCACUAUAAGUUUCUUUUAAAGUUUUAAUUUCAGCCACAAAUACUAUUAAGCUUUUUGCACCUUUCUGUCUUUAACUCGUGGAUAUUAAAUAUCAAGAGCAGGCAGCCUUGAUUUCCGUGAAUUUUCCUCUGAUUGUCUUUGUUGGCCUCCUCCAGGCAUGUCUGUAGUGCCGGC